AAUCAACGCUGGCGGCGUGCCUAACACAUGCAAGUCGAACGCGAGAGGGGCUUCGGCCCUGAUUGAGUGGCAAACGGGUGAGUAACGCGUGGGUGACCUACCUUCGAGUGGGGGAUAACGUUCCGAAAGGGACGCUAAUACCGCAUAACAUCCUGUCUUUGGACAGAUGGAGAUCAAAGCCGGGGAUCGUAAGACCUGGCGCUUGAGGAGGGGCCCGCGUCCGAUUAGCUAGUUGGUGGGAAUGGCUCACCAAGGCAACGAUCGGUAGCCGGCCUGAGAGGGCGGACGGCCACACUGGGACUGAGACACGGCCCAGACUCCUACGGGAGGCAGCAGUGGGGAAUUGUUCGCAAUGGGCGCAAGCCUGACGACGCAACGCCGCGUGAAGGAUGAAGGUCUUCGGA
This 404-nucleotide ribosomal RNA is filed under the name uncultured bacterium. RNAcentral describes it as "bacterial SSU rRNA". It matches the Rfam family "Bacterial small subunit ribosomal RNA", at positions 29 to 422 of the family's 1533-position model. The record is from RNAcentral.